AGCGAACGCUGGCGGCAGGCCUAACACAUGCAAGUCGAACGAACCUUUCGGGGUUAGUGGCGGACGGGUGAGUAACACGUGGGAACGUGCCUUUAGGUUCGGAAUAACUCAGUGAAACUUGUGCUAAUACCGAAUGUGCCCUUCGGGGGAAAGAUUACUCGCCUUUAGAGCGGCCCGCGUCUGAUUAGCCAGUUGGUUGAGGUAAUGGCUCACCAAGGCGACGAUCAGUAGCUGGUCUGAGAGGAUGAUCAGCCACAUUGGGACUGAGACACGGCCCAAACUCCUGCGGGAGGCAGCAGUGGGGAAUCUUGCGCAAUGGGCGAAAGCCUGACGAAGCCAUGCCGCGUGAAUGAUGAAGGUCUUAGGAUUGUAAAAUUCUUUCACCGGGGACGAUAAUGACGGUACCCGGAGAAGAAGCCCCGGCUAACUUCGUG
Molecule: ribosomal RNA, 434 nt
Filed under: uncultured bacterium
Lineage: Bacteria
Description: partial 16S ribosomal RNA
Rfam family: Bacterial small subunit ribosomal RNA
Source: RNAcentral